GAUGAGCUGUGGAUAGGGGUGAAAGGCUAAACAAACUUGGAAAUAGCUGGUUCUCUCCGAAAACUAUUUAGGUAGUGCCUCAAGUAUUACCGACGGGGGUAGAGCACUGUUUUGGCUAGGGGGUCAUGGCGACUUACCAAACCAAUGCAAACUCCGAAUACCGUCGAGUACAGCUUGGGAGACAGAGCACCGGGUGCUAACGUCCGGACUCAAGAGGGAAACAACCCAGACCGCCAGCUAAGGUCCCUAAAAUUGGCUAAGUGGGAAACGAAGUGGGAAGGCUAAAACAGUCAGGAUGUUGGCUUAGAAGCAGCCAUCAUUUAAAGAAAGCGUAAUAGCUCACUGAUCGAGUCGUCCUGCGCGGAAGAUGUAACGGGGCUAAGCCAGUUACCGAAGCUGCGGAUUUGCAAUUUAUUGCAAGUGGUAGGAGAGCGUUCUGUAGGCCUGUGAAGGUGUCUGGUAACGGGUGCUGGAGGUAUCAGAAGUGCGAAUGCUGACAUGAGUAGCGUUAAAGGGGGUGAAAAGCCCCCUCGCCGUAAGCGCAAGGUUUUCUACGCAACGUUCAUCGGCGUAGAGUGAGUCGGCCCCUAAGGCGAGGCAGAGAUGCGUAGCUGAUGGGAAACAGGUCAAUAUUCCUGUACCGAUGUGUAGUGCGAUGUGGGGACGGAGAAGGUUAGCUCAGCCAACUGUUGGAUAUGUUGGUUCAAGCCUGUAGUCGUGCCUGGUAGGUAAAUCCGCCGGGCUUAGAUGAGGGGUGAUAACGAGUCUGCUUGCAGACGAAGUGAGUGAUACCCUGCUUCCAGGAAAAGCCACUAAGCUUCAGCUACACACGACCGUACCGCAAACCGACACUGGUGCGCGAGAUGAGUAUUCUAAGGCGCUUGAGAGAACUCAGGAGAAGGAACUCGGCAAAUUGAUACCGUAACUUCGGGAGAAGGUAUGCCCCAAGUAGGUGAACUCGUACAGAGGGAGCCCAAAGGGGUUGCAAAAAAUCGGUGGCUGCGACUGUUUAAUAAAAACACAGCACUCUGCAAACACGAAAGUGGACGUAUAGGGUGUGACGCCUGCCCGGUGCUGGAAGAUUAAAUGAUGGGGUGCAAGCUCUUGAUUGAAGUCCCAGUAAACGGCGGCCGUAACUAUAACGGUCCUAAGGUAGCGAAAUUCCUUGUCGGGUAAGUUCCGACCUGCACGAAUGGCGUAACGAUGGCCACACUGUCUCCUCCUGAGACUCAGCGAAGUUGAAAUGUUUGUGAUGAUGCAAUCUCCCCGCGGAAAGACGGAAAGACCCCAUGAACCUUUACUGUAGCUUUGUAUUGGACUUUGAACAGAUCUGUGUAGGAUAGGUGGGAGGCUUUGAAGUAGGGUCGCUAGAUCUUAUGGAGCCAACGUUGAAAUACCACCCUGGUGUGUUUGAGGUUCUAACCUAGGUCCAUUAUCUGGAUCGGGGACAGUGCAUGGUAGGCAGUUUGACUGGGGCGGUCUCCUCCCAAAGCGUAACGGAGGAGUUCGAAGGUACGCUAGUUACGGUCGGACAUCGUGACGAUAGUGCAAUGGCAUAAGCGUGCUUAACUGCGAGACUGACAAGUCGAGCAGAUGCGAAAGCAGGACAUAGUGAUCCGGUGGUUCUGUAUGGAAGGGCCAUCGCUCAACGGAUAAAAGGUACU
Molecule: ribosomal RNA, 1664 nt
Filed under: activated sludge metagenome
Description: bacterial LSU rRNA
Rfam family: Bacterial large subunit ribosomal RNA
Source: RNAcentral